Molecule: non-coding RNA, 216 nt
Organism: Vicia faba (fava bean)
Lineage: Eukaryota; Viridiplantae; Streptophyta; Magnoliopsida; Fabales; Fabaceae
Source: the annotation of a GenBank genome assembly
AUGCCAAAACAUGUCCAGACAGCUUAUCAAACCUACUCUAUUAGAAAUAUAACUUCUACUUGUCCUGCACCAUUGAAUUCAAGCUCUGUCCAACCUUCAUCAUCGUUGCAUCUUCAGCAUUCUUCUCUCGGCAAUAACCACAUCAACAACAUCAGUCCCACCGUGUCAUCGCCUUCAUCAUCUCUGUACCAAUCUUUAAUCAUCUUCUGCAGCUAG